GCCCGGGUGGCGAAAUUGGUAGACGCAAGGGACUUAAAAUCCCUCGGAGGCAACUCCAUGCCGGUUCGAGUCCGGCCCUGGGCACCA
This 87-nucleotide transfer RNA is filed under the name Gammaproteobacteria bacterium. Its description in RNAcentral is "tRNA-Leu". It matches the Rfam family "tRNA". From Rfam's summary of the family: Transfer RNA (tRNA) molecules are approximately 80 nucleotides in length. Their secondary structure includes four short double-helical elements and three loops (D, anti-codon, and T loops). The record is from RNAcentral. Lineage: Bacteria; Pseudomonadati; Pseudomonadota; Gammaproteobacteria. RNAcentral also lists the same sequence under 1 other name.